This 525-nucleotide ribosomal RNA is filed under the name Melanohalea aff. multispora SL-2012. Its description in RNAcentral is "eukaryotic LSU rRNA". It matches the Rfam family "Eukaryotic large subunit ribosomal RNA", at positions 112 to 650 of the family's 3401-position model. The record is from RNAcentral. Lineage: Eukaryota; Fungi; Ascomycota; Lecanoromycetes; Lecanorales; Parmeliaceae.
AAUUUGAAAUCUGGCCCUCCGGGGUCCGAGUUGUAAUUUGUAGAGAGUGCUUCGGGUGAGACCGCGGUCUAAGUCCAUUGGAACAUGGCGUCCCAGAGGGUGAGAAUCCCGUAUGUGACUGCGGCUCGAGCCCAUGUGAAGCCUCUUCGACGAGUCGAGUUGUUUGGGAAUGCAGCUCUAAAUGGGUGGUAAAUUUCAUCUAAAGCUAAAUACUGGCUGGAGACCGAUAGCGCACAAGUAGAGUGAUCGAAAGAUGAAAAGCACUUUGGAAAGAGAGUUAAACAGUACGUGAAAUUGUUGAAAAGGAAGCGCUUGCAACCAGACCUGUCCGUAGGCGAUCACCCGCUGUUCUCAGCGGUGCACUCGUUCUGCGAUCAGGCCAGCAUCGGUUCGGGCGGCCGGAUAAAGGCCUUGGGAAUGUAGCUCUCCUCCGGGGGAGUCUUAUAGCCCUCGGUGCAAUGCGGCCAGCCGGGACCGAGGACCGCGCUUCGGCUAGGAUGCUGGCGUAAUGGUUGUAAGCGACCC